GGUUAAGCGACUAAGCGUACACGGUGGAUGCCCUGGCAGUCAGAGGCGAUGAAGGACGUGCUAAUCUGCGAAAAGCGUCGGUAAGGUGAUAUGAACCGUUAUAGCCGGCGAUGUCCGAAUGGGGAAACCCAGUGCAAUUCGUUGCACUAUCGUUAACUGAAUACAUAGGUUAACGAGGCGAACCGGGGGAACUGAAACAUCUAAGUACCCCGAGGAAAAGAAAUCAACCGAGAUUCCCCCAGUAGCGGCGAGCGAACGGGGAGCAGCCCAGAGUCUGAAUCAGCUUGUGUGUUAGUGGAACGGUCUGGAAAGUCCGACGGUACAGGGUGAUAGUCCCGUACACCAAAAUGCACAGGCUGUGAACUCGAAGAGUAGGGCGGGACACGUGGUAUCCUGUCUGAAUAUGGGGGGACCAUCCUCCAAGGCUAAAUACUCCUGACUGACCGAUAGUGAACCAGUACCGUGAGGGAAAGGCGAAAAGAACCCCGGCGAGGGGAGUGAAAAAGAACCUGAAACCGUGUACGUACAAGCAGUGGGAGCACCUUCGGGUGUGACUGCGUACCUUUUGUAUAAUGGGUCAGCGACUUAUAUUCUGUAGCAAGGUUAACCGUAUAGGGGAGCCGCAGGGAAACCGAGUCUUAACUGGGCGUUAAGUUGCAGGGUAUAGACCCGAAACCCGGUGAUCUAGCCAUGGGCAGGUUGAAGGUUGGGUAACACUAACUGGAGGACCGAACCGACUAAUGUUGAAAAAUUAGCGGAUGACUUGUGGCUGGGGGUGAAAGGCCAAUCAAACCGGGAGAUAGCUGGUUCUCCCCGAAAGCUAUUUAGGUAGCGCCUCGUGAACUCAUCUUCGGGGGUAGAGCACUGUUUCGGCUAGGGGGUCAUCCCGACUUACCAACCCGAUGCAAACUACGAAUACCGAAGAAUGUUAUCACGGGAGACACACGGCGGGUGCUAACGUCCGUCGUGAAGAGGGAAACAACCCAGACCGCCAGCUAAGGUCCCAAAGUCAUGGUUAAGUGGGAAACGAUGUGGGAAGGCACAGACAGCCAGGAUGUUGGCUUAGAAGCAGCCAUCAUUUAAAGAAAGCGUAAUAGCUCACUGGUCGAGUCGGCCUGCGCGGAAGAUGUAACGGGGCUAAACCAUGCACCGAAGCUGCGGCAGCGACACUAUGUGUUGUUGGGUAGGGGAGCGUUCUGUAAGCCUGCGAAGGUGACCUGUGAGGGUUGCUGGAGGUAUCAGAAGUGCGAAUGCUGACAUAAGUAACGAUAAAGCGGGUGAAAAGCCCGCUCGCCGGAAGACCAAGGGUUCCUGUCCAACGUUAAUCGGGGCAGGGUGAGUCGACCCCUAAGGCGAGGCCGAAAGGCGUAGUCGAUGGGAAACAGGUUAAUAUUCCUGUACUUGGUGUUACUGCGAAGGGGGGACGGAGAAGGCUAUGUUAGCCGGGCGACGGUUGUCCCGGUUUAAGCAUGUAGGCUGGUUAUCCAGGCAAAUCCGGAUAAUCAAGGCUGAGGUGUGAUGACGAGGCACUACGGUGCUGAAGUAACAAAUGCCCUGCUUCCAGGAAAAGCCUCUAAGCAUCAGGUAACAUUAAAUCGUACCCCAAACCGACACAGGUGGUCAGGUAGAGAAUACCAAGGCGCUUGAGAGAACUCGGGUGAAGGAACUAGGCAAAAUGGUGCCGUAACUUCGGGAGAAGGCACGCUGGUGUGUAGGUGAAGCCCCUGCGGGUGGAGCUGAGACCAGUCGAAGAUACCAGCUGGCUGCAACUGUUUAUUAAAAACACAGCACUGUGCAAACACGAAAGUGGACGUAUACGGUGUGACGCCUGCCCGGUGCCGGAAGGUUAAUUGAUGGGGUUAUCCGUAAGGAGAAGCUCUUGAUCGAAGCCCCGGUAAACGGCGGCCGUAACUAUAACGGUCCUAAGGUAGCGAAAUUCCUUGUCGGGUAAGUUCCGACCUGCACGAAUGGCGUAAUGAUGGCCAGGCUGUCUCCACCCGAGACUCAGUGAAAUUGAACUCGCUGUGAAGAUGCAGUGUACCCGCGGCAAGACGGAAAGACCCCGUGAACCUUUACUAUAGCUUGACACUGAACAUUGAGCCUUGAUGUGUAGGAUAGGUGGGAGGCUUUGAAGCGUGGACGCCAGUCUGCGUGGAGCCAACCUUGAAAUACCACCCUUUAAUGUUUGAUGUUCUAACGUUGGCCCCUUACCGGGGUUGCGGACAGUGUCUGGUGGGUAGUUUGACUGGGGCGGUCUCCUCCUAAAGCGUAACGGAGGAGCACGAAGGUUAGCUAAUCCUGGUCGGACAUCAGGAGGUUAGUGCAAUGGCAUAAGCUAGCUUGACUGCGAGCGUGACGGCGCGAGCAGGUGCGAAAGCAGGUCAUAGUGAUCCGGUGGUUCUGAAUGGAAGGGCCAUCGCUCAACGGAUAAAAGGUACUCCGGGGAUAACAGGCUGAUACCGCCCAAGAGUUCAUAUCGACGGCGGUGUUUGGCACCUCGAUGUCGGCUCAUCACAUCCUGGGGCUGAAGUAGGUCCCAAGGGUAUGGCUGUUCGCCAUUUAAAGUGGUACGCGAGCUGGGUUUAGAACGUCGUGAGACAGUUCGGUCCCUAUCUGCCGUGGGCGCUGGAGAAUUGAGGGGGGCUGCUCCUAGUACGAGAGGACCGGAGUGGACGCAUCACUGGUGUUCGGGUUGUCAUGCCAAUGGCACUGCCCGGUAGCUAAAUGCGGAAGAGAUAAGUGCUGAAAGCAUCUAAGCACGAAACUUGCCCCGAGAUGAGUUCUCCCUGAGACUUUAAGUCUCCUGAAGGAACGUUGAAGACGACGACGUUGAUAGGCCGGGUGUGUAAGCGCAGCGAUGCGUUGAGCUAACCGGUACUAAUGAACCGUGAGGCUUAACCUU
Molecule: ribosomal RNA, 2902 nt
Filed under: Klebsiella pneumoniae
Lineage: Bacteria; Pseudomonadati; Pseudomonadota; Gammaproteobacteria; Enterobacterales; Enterobacteriaceae
Description: 23S ribosomal RNA
Rfam family: Bacterial large subunit ribosomal RNA
Source: RNAcentral